RNAcentral lists this unclassified non-coding RNA (827 nucleotides) under Caenorhabditis elegans. RNAcentral's name for it is "Non-coding transcript of protein-coding gene T10B10.4b". Lineage: Eukaryota; Metazoa; Nematoda; Chromadorea; Rhabditida; Rhabditidae. The record is from RNAcentral.
AUGAAAGCGACUUUGAUCGAAAUCACCACACGAGAGAAUCUGCGCAGAGCUCAGGCUCAGUGCUCUCGCCAUGUCAGUGCCAUCUACUUUCCAUUCUCAAUUCAUACUCAGCUGGAAGAUAGCUUCCCGGAGAGUCCAGUACGAGUUUUUGUCUAUCCAAACAUCUCCCAUCCGAAAAUGUUCUUCAUGUUCAAAGACAACGAGUUCAUCAAGCCAACGCUGGCGCUGGCUCAAGUUUCGGGAACAAGCAUGAACCGCCUUGAGCUCAUCGACCUAAUCAAUGAAUUCCGUACGGAGUCGCCAUGCGCCUUUCUUCCAGCGACUGGACUAAUAAUGAUCUCAGACUCUCUUUGUUCUACAUGACAGAGUCUCAGAAAAAGCUUGCCAUGACCACACCAUUGCCUAAUGUGCCACAUGGGUAUUAUUACGACGAGAUUGAGCCAACCGAGGAAGCUGAAAUUGUUAACAACACAUGGAAGCAUGCAGGUGCUGGCGAUCUUGAGCAAACAAUGGCCAAAUUGCUUCGAUUACCUUCAUCAUGCGUCCGUUUCAACGGGAAGCCGGUUGCAUUUGAAAUGAUCGACCCGGCUGGAUUCUUCAACAACCAAUAUGUUUUCGAGGAUCAUCGCCGCAAGGGACUCGGAAAUGCAGUUGAGAUGGAUCUUAUUCACAAAACUUUAAGCAUCGGGUUUUCACCAUUCAAAACGGUUGCCAAGGACAACAAAAUUGUCUUGGACGCUUCAAUUGCCAACAAACUGUGGACAAUGUGGAGCGACGAGGAUGGAAAUGCAAAGACCAUCGUUUUCCAGACUUGGCGUUGUGACUAA